This 253-nucleotide ribosomal RNA is filed under the name uncultured bacterium. RNAcentral describes it as "partial 16S ribosomal RNA". It matches the Rfam family "Bacterial small subunit ribosomal RNA", at positions 524 to 776 of the family's 1533-position model. The record is from RNAcentral.
UACGUAGGGACCAAGCGUUGUUCGGAUUUACUGGGCGUAAAGGGCGCGUAGGCGGCAAUUCAAGUCAGCUGUGAAAUCUCCGGGCUUAACUCGGAACGGUCAGCUGAUACUGCUUUGCUAGAGUGCAGAAGGGGCAAUCGGAAUUCUUGGUGUAGCGGUGAAAUGCGUAGAUAUCAAGAGGAACACCUGCGGCGAAGGCGGGUUGCUGGGCCGACACUGACGCUGAUGCGCGAAAGCUAGGGGAGCGAACAGG